UUGGAGGGCAAGUCUGGUGCCAGCAGCCGCGGUAAUUCCAGCUCCAAUAGUGUAUAUUAAGGUUGCUGCAGUUAAAAAGCUCGUAGUUGAAUUUCGGGACUAAUAUGUCGGUCGUGCCUCGGUACGUACUGGUAUUUUUGGUUUCUCCCUUCUGACGAACCUUGAUGUCAUUAAUUUGGUGUCUUGGGGAAUCAGGACUGUUACUUUGAAAAAAUUAGAGUGUUUAAAGCAGGCUCACGCUUGAAUACAUUAGCAUGGAAUAAUGAAAUAGGACGUUUGAUACUAUUUUGUUGGUUUCUAGGAUCGACGUAAUGAUUAAUAGGGAUAGUUGGGGGCAUUAGUAUUCAAUUGUCAGGGGUGAAAUUCUUGGAUUUAUUGAAGACUAACUACUGCGAAAGCAUUUGCCAAGGAUGUUUUCAUUAAUCAAGAACGAAAGUUAGGGGAUCGAAGACGAUCAGAUACCGUCGUAGUCUUAACUAUAAACUAUGCCGACUAGGGAUCGGAUGAUGUUAAUUUUUUAAUGACUCAUUCGGCGCCUUACGGGAAACCAAAGUGUUUGGGUUC
RNAcentral lists this ribosomal RNA (564 nucleotides) under uncultured Glomeromycotina. RNAcentral's name for it is "SSU rRNA". It matches the Rfam family "Eukaryotic small subunit ribosomal RNA", at positions 548 to 1114 of the family's 1831-position model. Lineage: Eukaryota; Fungi; Glomeromycota. The record is from RNAcentral.